CUGUACAGCAGCAGGGAGCUCCUACUCCAAGAUUUUCACCCUCAACUUUACCAUCACCAACCUGUUUUACACAACAAAGAUGGGCCACAGAGACUCUGGAACAUUUAAAGCUGCUGAGAAUGUCAUCAAAGUACUGGUGAGUCUCCAUUUUUCCCUUCUCCUGCCACACACACUACCUUCUCUCUCCCAUGCUGCCUCCCUUAGCCCUGAGUAUCCAGGCUUGUUCUAGCCAGGUACUCAGAAGUUCCUUUCUCACCUUUUAUUUUUAGCUCAAGUCUGUGUUUGCAAUGACCAACCUUGGCUCUCACUAUUCUGGAUGCAGUGUGAUCUUGCUGAGGCCUCUGAAGAAUGGGACAGCAACAGGAGUGGAUGUUCUGUGUACUUGUCAGGAAGAUUCCUCCAACCCUGUUCUGGACAAAGAGAAGGUUUACUGGGAGCUUAGUGAACAAAUAUAUAGAAGAAAUCUAAGACACCUGCUUAUAGAGAGAGACAGCCUCUUUGUGGAUGGUAAAUAGCUUGACUUGGGGCAUAUGCCUCUCUGUCUCUGGGUGGUUCCCUUUCUAGAAAACAACCCACCUGCCCCCAAUUUUUCUAUCCCUUUGAACCUCCUUUGUUUCCUUGGUUUCUUUAUCUCUCACUCCUGGGAUCACUGACCCUCAAAGUGGUGACAAACUGAACACAUGGGGAGCUCAUUUCUCAAGAUUGGAAGAGGCUAUGCUCCUUCUAUUAAGAAUUGUGGCAUGAAUCCCUUACUCUUAAAUGGUGAAGGACCAUUCUCCCAACCCUAUAGGUGCCAAACCAUCUCCUCUCCAUUCCUCCAUUAACCUUUUGUCCACAUAGAGAUACCCUACUGAAAGAUUUGUGUGUUCUCUCUCUCCCUCUCUUCUCUCUCUCUCUCUCUUUCUCUCUCUCUCUCUAUGCCCCCCCUCUCUCCUUAUUGUCCUUCCUUCUCUUCAUCCUCCCUCUUUUCUCUUUUUUGUCUUCUUUUUUCCCGUUCUGCACCUCUUGUCUUCACAUCUCUUCUGACUUAUUCUUUUUUCUAUGCCAUUUUCCUCUCCUCCCUCUAUUCAUCAACUCUUCAUUGCCUCUUCUUCCUGCUUUCAUCUUCUCUCCAAA
RNAcentral lists this long non-coding RNA (1116 nucleotides) under Monodelphis domestica (gray short-tailed opossum). RNAcentral's name for it is "lncRNA (ENSMODG00000048692.1)". The record is from RNAcentral. Lineage: Eukaryota; Metazoa; Chordata; Mammalia; Didelphimorphia; Didelphidae.